Long non-coding RNA from Melanaphis sacchari, 316 nucleotides. RefSeq lists it as uncharacterized. NCBI's taxonomy places the organism in Eukaryota, Metazoa, Arthropoda, Insecta, Hemiptera, Aphididae. The transcript has 2 exons. The record is from RefSeq and is a predicted model, not a curated record.
AUAAAUAAAUUAAACGUUUUCUAGAUCAAUUAAAUGUAAUUCAGAAAAUUACUCUUGGCCAUGUUAUUUGUGCUACUACAAAUGUGGAUCACGUACAAAGUGACAUUUUUAAAUUAGUCGAUCACAAUUUAUUUCCAACAAGCAAGCUAAAAUGUGACGAGUUCUAUUUAGAUUUUAAGGAAUGGCAAGAAUCAAAUGACUCUACAGAGUUGUAAUCAAAUCAAGUUAAUUUACUACAGAUGAUUUACUACUUAUAGUUUUUAUAAUUUUUUUUUUACCUCCUUAUUUUAAAAUACAAUAAAUUAUUACAUUGGAA